GUGAGGAAUAUUGGUCAAUGGGCGCGAGCCUGAACCAGCCAAGUAGCGUGCAGGAUGACGGCCCUAUGGGUUGUAAACUGCUUUUAUGCGGGGAUAAAGUGCACCACGUGUGGUGUUUUGUAGGUACCGCAUGAAUAAGGACCGGCUAAUUCCGUGCCAGCAGCCGCGGUAAUACGGAAGGUCCGGGCGUUAUCCGGAUUUAUUGGGUUUAAAGGGAGCGCAGGCUGAUUGUUAAGCGUGACGUGAAAUGUAGCCGCUCAACGGCUGAACUGCGUCGCGAACUGGCAGUCUUGAGUGAGUACGACGUCAGCGGAAUUCGUGGUGUAGCGGUGAAAUGCUUAGAUAUCACGAAGAACCCCGAUUGCGAAGGCAGCUGACGAGUCCUUUACUGACGCUAAAGCUCGAAGGUGCGGGUAUCGAACAGG
This 425-nucleotide ribosomal RNA is filed under the name uncultured rumen bacterium. RNAcentral's name for it is "bacterial SSU rRNA". It matches the Rfam family "Bacterial small subunit ribosomal RNA", at positions 354 to 776 of the family's 1533-position model. The record is from RNAcentral.